Molecule: long non-coding RNA, 1164 nt
Organism: Pocillopora verrucosa
Lineage: Eukaryota; Metazoa; Cnidaria; Anthozoa; Scleractinia; Pocilloporidae
Source: RefSeq, a predicted model, not a curated record
UCGAUGUUUUCUGGUUGUAAAGUAGACGUCGUACCCGAUCCUGAGCUGCGUUACGCAGAGGGUGCAAAUUUCCUCCGUAGAACACGUGCUGAGAUCUCGAAUAGCAAAGACAUUUCGCGGUGCGUUGUAGAUAUUCGGCCGAAGCUGAGAUUCCUCUGCACCCUCUUCUAGAGACUUUUGGGUUUAACAAACACGACUCUUAACAAGAAUCUGGAGGACACGGACGGCGAGAAAAGUAAUAGAACACGGAAACAAACAACCAAAAAAAACACAUGCAAGGCAUUUUCCAUUAAAGUCCAUUGGAGGAGCUAUUCCCUGGGUGCUGAAUGGAACCGAGACACCUGUUUAGUUACGUCACUGUUCGCUAUCUGAACACAGAGAAUUCUUGACAAACGGAUGCUGAUCGGGCUUGUGAUUAUUCUAUCCCCGUCAGACUGAAAGAGAGAGGGCUACACAAAGACAACGGAUUGAAACUACACCACAAUCGAGCAUCGCAUAUAAACACCAUCUGAAAAUACUACAAAACUGAGUCGUUAUGUCAAAGUAAACGGCCCUCUACAUUAAAUAAAAAAAUAAAUUAGCAUUUUCCACUUCGACUCCAAGGUAUUGUAACAAUCAAAGUAAAUACGUCCAAGUACGGACGCGGUGUCUCUUGUCCGUGAUAGGAUUGGGUCAGAGUGUGACAAAUGCCACUGUAUCCACGCAAUCGUGGCUUGCUAGUUGCCAUGGAGAUACCAACCGGUAGACAACAGCCCAGUGAUGGCUACUGCAGUUCACAGAAAUAUCCAUUAGGCUCUACCACACUUAGUGCUCAGUCGGACUCCUCAUUUAGCAGCUUGGUCGUGGAUUCAUUAUCAACAGUAUCACUAUUGUCUAAGGGUGGAAUCUGUUCAGUGAUCGGAGAAGACUGGUCUUCAGAAUUCCGUCGGGGACUCGAGCGCUCAGCAUUUGGGGAAGCCUCGUCUGCAGAGGUCCCAUUUUCCCCUUCUACGUCCCCCUCGGGCUCUUCUUGGUCCUGAGAAAGUACAGAGACAAUAAGGGUGAAUAUUCUGAUGUUGUGUUCAAAGAUAUAAAAUAAACAAACAGAACACUUUACCUCUUCUGGACACAGUUCGCAGGCCUUGGCGAGUGUGAGUCGUGCACUGUGUGAUCGUUCAAGGAAGU